AUCACUUGUUUUGUUAGACUCCUGUUUGCCAAGUCGAAACAGUCAGAAAUCAUAAAAAAUAAUCCACAGAAUCUGUCUGAAAAUGCAGUUUUCUAAUGUUAUUUUUCUUGGUUUGCAGCAGCAAGUCCUUCAUUCUGCCAUCAAAAUUUUGCAAUGGAGAGCAUGACUUCCUCUUCUCGUAAGAUCACCUCUAGCGCCUCGCUGCUGCUGCUGCCCAGCAUCUUCUCCCUUUGAAGCUUUGCUCCUUGGACCACCUGGGAGUUCUUUUUCCACCCUGGAGAUGGACAGACAAUACAGGCCACCACGUGGCAAUGUUCUGCACUGCUACAUGGAAGCUCUAGAGUAACAGAGAACAAAAGUAAUUUUCAUCUAAACUACUUGAAACAAAAUCAAGAGUGUUCAAGCAAACAGAAAGCCAUGCCUUCAGUGUUGGGGAAAACAUGUUUUCAUUAAAAAGUCAUUUCAAAAGAAAAGAGGCUG
This is a long non-coding RNA of Cuculus canorus (common cuckoo), 480 nucleotides long. RefSeq lists it as uncharacterized. Lineage: Eukaryota; Metazoa; Chordata; Aves; Cuculiformes; Cuculidae. The record is from RefSeq and is a predicted model, not a curated record. The transcript is spliced from 3 exons.